Molecule: ribosomal RNA, 438 nt
Filed under: uncultured bacterium
Lineage: Bacteria
Description: bacterial SSU rRNA
Rfam family: Bacterial small subunit ribosomal RNA
Source: RNAcentral
GCAUAACGCGAAGAACCUUACCAGGUCUUGACAUCCAGGUAAAGCCGCAGAGAUGCGGUGUGUGCUUGCACGAUCUGAGACAGGUGGUGCAUGGUUGUCGUCAGCUCGUGUCGUGAGAUGUUGGGUUAAGUCCCGCAACGAGCGCAACCCUUGCCGAUAGUUACUAACGGGUAGAGCCGAGGACUUUAUCGGGACCGCCGGGGACAACUCGGAGGAAGGUGGGGACGACGUCAAAUCAUCAUGCCCCUUAUGACCUGGGCUACACACGUGCUACAAUGGCCGAGACAGAGAGAUGCGAAGGCGCGAGCCGGAGCGGACCUCAGAAAAGCGGUCACAGUUCGGAUUGCGGGCUGCAACCCGCCCGCAUGAAGCAGGAGUUGCUAGUAAUCGCGAAUCAGCAUGUCGCGGUGAAUACGUUCCCGGGUCUUGUACACACCG